ACUGUGUUUUUGAAGAAGGAGCAACAUUCUGACAUGACUAAAAGCUCACAAGAGUCCAUUCUGUGUAAUAUAGGUGUUGCUCAAAUUGCAAAAACAAAUUUGACAACAAUAACAUGACUUUUUUUACGUUUCUCUGUCCAGCAUUUAAAUCUUACAAAGGUCACUUGAUCGUGGCCGAUGUGAGACCUGCAUGUUUUAAUCAGGUUGAGGAAACAUGACUUUAUUCUAAUCUGUGGUGAGGCUCCUCCCUCUGGAAUUCUCCUCCUCAAAACCUUUGGAGGGAAAAUUCUAAUGGAACAGGACACAGGACAGAUACAAGAGCAGAGGACACACAGUGUGGAGCAGGAGGAUUAUGAGAGCUGAUCUGGAGAGUCGUCUACAAACACAGAGUGACGUCCAGAGCUCUGCUGGAGCUGUGGGGAAGUUCAUGAAUGUUAUAGUUGAUGUUUCAGGAAAAAGGAAGAUGUUUGAGAACCAACAAAACACAGAUGAACAAAGGUGAUGUGGCAUUAGGAGGACUUUAUACCAGAUGCCCUACCUGUUACUGCAUUUAGAGGAAGAAAAGCAGCACACAAGACCAGAGCUUCUUCACUGGAAUAAAUCUUCACACUGUCCAGCUCCAAACUGUGUGUCUCUGUACUUGUGCUCUCUGUGUGUUUGAUUCUGUUUAAGACAAUACAG
Boleophthalmus pectinirostris (great blue-spotted mudskipper) is the source of this 681-nucleotide long non-coding RNA. RefSeq lists it as uncharacterized. NCBI's taxonomy places the organism in Eukaryota, Metazoa, Chordata, Actinopteri, Gobiiformes, Gobiidae. The record is from RefSeq and is a predicted model, not a curated record. The transcript has 4 exons.